This 340-nucleotide long non-coding RNA is filed under the name Sorghum bicolor (sorghum). RNAcentral describes it as "long non-coding RNA (SBIC_LNC010323)". The record is from RNAcentral. Lineage: Eukaryota; Viridiplantae; Streptophyta; Magnoliopsida; Poales; Poaceae.
CUAAUUAAAGAGCCAAUUUUUAUGGACAGACAAACCAUCAGAGAAACAAUUUCCAAUAUUUUUCCUAUGCUCUAAAUAUUCUCUGGAACUUACACAAAAAGUUUCACUGCUUUUGGAUCACUCCACAAUUUCCUACAUAAUUUCAAACAUUCAGCAUAUUUAAACAAAAAGGAAAAAAAGAAAAAGGCACUAUGGCGUGCGGGCGGCCUGCUUGGACUUGGCCCAAGUCGGCCCGCGAACGCUUUCCCGCGCGGCCUGCGUGCGCUGGCGCUGCUCUCUCUCACACGGCCGCUGACGAGCGGGUCCCGCUCGUCAGGGGCGUCUUCCACCUCGCACCACC